CUACACAUGCAAGUCGAACGGGUCCUCCGGGUAUUCGCAAGAACUCCGGAGGUAUAGUGGCGAACGGGUGAGUAACACGCUGCAGUAACCUCCCUUCCGGAGGGGGAUAACCACCCGAAAGGAUGGCUAAUACCCCAUAUGCUUUCCCCCCGCUGGGGGUGGAAAGGAAAGAAGGCUUUUCGCUUUCACCGGAAGAAGGGCUCGCGUCCCAUCAGCUGGUUGGUGGGGUAACGGCCUACCAAGGCGAUGACGGGUAGCUGGUCUGAGAGGAUGAUCAGCCACACUGGGACUGAGACACGGCCCAGACUCCUACGGGAGGCAGCAGUGAGGAAUUUUGGGCAAUGGGCGCAAGCCUGACCCAGUCAACGCCGCGUGGAGGAAGAAGGCCUUCGGGUCGUAAACUCCUGUUCUGGGAGAAGAAACGGUGAAGGGUGAAUAACCCCUCACCCUGACGGUAUCCCAGGAGAAAGCUCCGGCUAAUUACGUGCCAGCAGCCGCGGUAAUACGUAAGGAGCGAGCGUUGUCCGGAUUCACUGGGCGUAAAGAGCUCGUAGGUGGUUCCUUAAGUCUCACGUGAAAUCCUUCUGCUCAACCGGAKAAAGCCGUGGGAAACUGGGGAGCUGGAGGGCAGAA
Molecule: ribosomal RNA, 633 nt
Filed under: uncultured bacterium
Lineage: Bacteria
Description: bacterial SSU rRNA
Rfam family: Bacterial small subunit ribosomal RNA
Source: RNAcentral